RNAcentral lists this non-coding RNA (28 nucleotides) under Cricetulus griseus (Chinese hamster). Lineage: Eukaryota; Metazoa; Chordata; Mammalia; Rodentia; Cricetidae. The record is from RNAcentral.
UUAGAAGGAUAUUGAAAGCUCAGACUAG